GAGCUUUCUUCUCUCUACCCUUACGUUCUGCAGCUGGUAUUAUCUGCGCAGCUCCAGGCCUGGAUGGGGCAUGGCUACGGGCUCAAGUUAUCAGCUACUUUGCAGAGACCAGUGAAGUGGAACUCAGAUAUGUGGACUAUGGAGGAUAUGACAAAGUGAAGGUCGACACACUCAGACAAAUCAGGUCUGACUUUUUAUCGCUGCCUUUCCAAGCAGCAGAAGUUUUACUGGAUGAUGUGGUGCCUCUUCCAGACGAGGAUCGCUUCUCCCCUGAAGCUGACGCGGCUGUUGGCGAGAUGACCAGAGGCGCGGUCCUUGUGGCGCAGGUACCAAAUUAUGACAGUGCAACAGGACUGCCACUGAUACAGCUGUGGAACUUGAGGGGA
Long non-coding RNA from Neopsephotus bourkii (Bourke's parrot), 386 nucleotides. RefSeq lists it as uncharacterized. Lineage: Eukaryota; Metazoa; Chordata; Aves; Psittaciformes; Psittacidae. The transcript is spliced from 4 exons. The record is from RefSeq and is a predicted model, not a curated record.